RNAcentral lists this small RNA (27 nucleotides) under Bombyx mori (domestic silkworm). Its description in RNAcentral is "ovarian small RNA-24958". Lineage: Eukaryota; Metazoa; Arthropoda; Insecta; Lepidoptera; Bombycidae. The record is from RNAcentral.
UCACAAAGUGUUUAAGGUGGUAAAAUG